This 780-nucleotide ribosomal RNA is filed under the name uncultured bacterium. Its description in RNAcentral is "bacterial SSU rRNA". It matches the Rfam family "Bacterial small subunit ribosomal RNA", at positions 73 to 825 of the family's 1533-position model. The record is from RNAcentral.
UUUCCCACCGGAGCUUGCUCCACCGGGAAAAGAGGAGUGGCGAACGGGUGAGUAACACGUGGGUAACCUGCCCAUCAGAAGGGGAUAACACUUGGAAACAGGUGCUAAUACCGUAUAACAAUCGAAACCGCAUGGUUUCGUUUUGAAAGGCGCUUUACGGUGCCGCUGAUGGAUGGACCCGCGGUGCAUUAGCUAGUUGGUGAGGUAACGGCUCACCAAGGCCACGAUGCAUAGCCGACCUGAGAGGGUGAUCGGCCACAUUGGGACUGAGACACGGCCCAAACUCCUACGGGAGGCAGCAGUAGGGAAUCUUCGGCAAUGGACGAAAGUCUGACCGAGCAACGCCGCGUGAGUGGAGAAGGUUUUCGGAUCGUAAAACUCUGUUGUUAGAGAAGAACAAGGGUGAGAGUAACUGUUCACCCCUUGACGGUAUCUAACCAGAAAGCCACGGCUAACUACGUGCCAGCAGCCGCGGUAAUACGUAGGUGGCAAGCGUUGUCCGGAUUUAUUGGGCGUAAAGCGAGCGCAGGCGGUUUCUUAAGUCUGAUGUGAAAGCCCCCGGCUCAACCGGGGAGGGUCAUUGGAAACUGGGAGACUUGAGUGCAGAAGAGGAGAGUGGAAUUCCAUGUGUAGCGGUGAAAUGCGUAGAUAUAUGGAGGAACACCAGUGGCGAAGGCGGCUCUCUGGUCUGUAACUGACGCUGAGGCUCGAAAGCGUGGGGAGCAGACAGGAUUAGAUACCCUGGUAGUCCACGCCGUAAACGAUGAGUGCUAAGUGUUG